GACGAACGCUGGCGGCAUGCUUAACACAUGCAAGUCGAACGGAAAGGCCCUGCUUUUGUGGGGUGCUCGAGUGGCGAACGGGUGAGUAACACGUGAGUAACCUGCCCUUGACUUUGGGAUAACUUCAGGAAACUGGGGCUAAUACCGGAUAGGAGCUCCUGCUGCAUGGUGGGGGUUGGAAAGUUUCGGCGGUUGGGGAUGGACUUGCGGCUUAUCAGCUUGUUGGUGGGGUAGUGGAUUACCAAGGAUUUGAAGGGUAGCCAGACUGAGAGGGAGACCGGCCACAUACUGAUAGAGAAACGACCAAUACGCAAACUUGAACAAUCAGCGAAAAAUAUAUCAAAAAAUGCCGAAUCUGUAAACAACAACUUCGGGUUCUAAAGCACUUCUUUCGGGUAAGAAACCCUUUUCCCUUAUAACGAAGCGUGAUGAACGUAAAUGAAGAAAGAACCACCGCUAAAUUACUG
RNAcentral lists this ribosomal RNA (467 nucleotides) under uncultured bacterium. RNAcentral describes it as "partial 16S ribosomal RNA". It matches the Rfam family "Bacterial small subunit ribosomal RNA", at positions 28 to 507 of the family's 1533-position model. The record is from RNAcentral.